AUAUCAAUAAGCGGAGGAAAAGAAACUAACAAGGAUUCCCCUAGUAACGGCGAGUGAAGCGGGAACAGCUCAAAUUUGAAAUCUCACAAGGUUACUUGUGCGAAUUGUAGUUUAGAGAAACGUUUUCGGGGGCAGCGUGGGUAUAAGUCCUUUGGAAAGAGGCAUCAUAGAGGGUGAGAAUCCCGUUUAUGAUCCACUGUCUGCUCCUAUGUGAUACGUUUUCCAAGAGUCAGGUAGUUUGGGAUUGCUGCCUAAAAUGGGUGGUAAAUACCAUCUAAAGCUAAAUAUUGGCGAGAGACCGAUAGCGCACAAGUA
This 315-nucleotide ribosomal RNA is filed under the name uncultured Fimicolochytrium. RNAcentral's name for it is "partial large subunit ribosomal RNA". It matches the Rfam family "Eukaryotic large subunit ribosomal RNA", at positions 40 to 350 of the family's 3401-position model. Lineage: Eukaryota; Fungi; Chytridiomycota; Chytridiomycetes; Spizellomycetales; Powellomycetaceae. The record is from RNAcentral.